Molecule: Y RNA, 103 nt
Filed under: Microcebus murinus (gray mouse lemur)
Lineage: Eukaryota; Metazoa; Chordata; Mammalia; Primates; Cheirogaleidae
Description: Y RNA (ENSMICG00000046313.1)
Rfam family: Y RNA
About the family: Y RNAs are components of the Ro ribonucleoprotein particle (Ro RNP), in association with Ro60 and La proteins.
Source: Rfam by way of RNAcentral
GGCUGGUUCAAGUGCAAUGGUUGUUUACAACUAAUUGAUCACAACCAGUUACACAUGCCUUUGCUCCUUCUCCACUCCCACUGCUUCAUUUGACUAGACUUAA